Molecule: ribosomal RNA, 499 nt
Filed under: uncultured bacterium
Lineage: Bacteria
Description: partial 16S ribosomal RNA
Rfam family: Bacterial small subunit ribosomal RNA
Source: RNAcentral
AUUGAACGCUGGCGGCAUGCCUUACACAUGCAAGUCGAACGGCAGCACGGGAGCAAUCCUGGUGGCGAGUGGCGAACGGGUGAGUAAUAUAUCGGAACGUGCCCAGUCGUGGGGGAUAACGCAGCGAAAGCUGUGCUAAUACCGCAUACGAUCUACGGAUGAAAGCGGGGGAUCGCAAGACCUCGCGCGAUUGGAGCGGCCGAUAUCAGAUUAGCUAGUUGGUGGGGUAAAAGCCCACCAAGGCGACGAUCUGUAGCUGGUCUGAGAGGACGACCAGCCACACUGGACUGAGACACGGCCCAGACUCCUACGGGAGGCAGCAGUGGGGAAUUUUGGACAAUGGGCGAAAGCCUGAUCCAGCAAUGCCGCGUGCAGGAAGAAGGCCUUCGGGUUGUAAACUGCUUUUGUACGGAGCGAAAAGGUCUCCUCUAAUACAGGGGGCUCAUGACGGUACCGUAAGAAUAAGCACCGGCUAACUACGUGCCAGCCGCCGCCGUAA